CACCAAGAAGUUGAGUCAUUUAAAUUGAUGGUUAAAAGGCAGUUAGGUUAGAUAUUUGGUGAAUUUGAGUUGUUUAAUGUUUUAUAGAGAAGUAAAAUUUAAAUAUAUAAGCAUAAUUUUUUAACAGCUUAUUUGAAACUGAAUCUGCGAAAUUCUUGAGGGAAACUGGGAUUAGGUACCCCAUUAUUCUUGAGAGUAAAUUGUAUGACUACCAGAGUACUAUGAAUGAUUAAAAUUUAAAACUCAAAGGACUUGGCGGUGUCUUAGACCACUUAGGGGAACCUGUCUCGUAAUCGACAGUCCACGUUAUACCUGACCUUUUUUUGUUAUCAGUUUGUAUACCGUUGUCGUCAGGUAACUUUUUAGAAAAAUGAAGUUAGCAAUAUAAAUAAAUUAUUUAAUACGUCAAAUCAAGGUGCAGCUAAUAAAAAGGGGAGGAUGGGUUACAAUUAUUAUAUUUAUAAUUACGGAAGUAGGUAUAGAAGCAUACUACAUAAGGAGGACUUGAAAGUAAAUUAAAGUAGAUAUAUAAUUUGAAUAAGGCUCUGAGACGUGU
RNAcentral lists this ribosomal RNA (556 nucleotides) under Hastula salleana. Its description in RNAcentral is "Impages salleana partial 12S ribosomal RNA". Lineage: Eukaryota; Metazoa; Mollusca; Gastropoda; Neogastropoda; Terebridae. The record is from RNAcentral.